CCUACGGGAGGCAGCAGUGGGGAAUCUUGCGCAAUGGGCGAAAGCCUGACGCAGCCAUGCCGCGUGAAUGAUGAAGGUCUUAGGAUUGUAAAAUUCUUUCACCGGGGACGAUAAUGACGGUACCCGGAGAAGAAGCCCCGGCUAACUUCGUGCCAGCAGCCGCGGUAAUACGAAGGGGGCUAGCGUUGCUCGGAAUUACUGGGCGUAAAGGGAGCGUAGGCGGACAUUUAAGUCAGGGGUGAAAUCCCAGAGCUCAACUCUGGAACUGCCUUUGAUACUGGGUGUCUUGAGUGUGAUAGAGGUAUGUGGAACUCCGAGUGUAGAGGUGAAAUUCGUAGAUAUUCGGAAGAACACCAGUGGCGAAGGCGACAUACUGGAUCAUUACUGACGCUGAGGCUCGAAAGCGUGGGGAGCAAACAGGAUUAGAUACCCUGGUAGUCCACGCCGUAAACGAUGAUUGCUAGUUGUUGGGAUGUUUACAUCUCGGUGACGCAGCUAACGCAUUAAGCAAUCCGCCUGGGGAGUACAGUCGCAAGAUUAAAACUUAAAGGAAUUGACGG
This 560-nucleotide ribosomal RNA is filed under the name uncultured bacterium. Its description in RNAcentral is "bacterial SSU rRNA". It matches the Rfam family "Bacterial small subunit ribosomal RNA", at positions 338 to 916 of the family's 1533-position model. The record is from RNAcentral.